CAGAACGAACGCUGGCGGCGCGUUUAAGCAUGCAAGUCGAGCGGCAAGGGCCUUCGGGCCCCUAGAGCGGCGGACGGGUGAGUAACACGUGGACAAUCUGCCCCCCGGCCCGGGAUAGCCCAGGGAAACCUGGAUUAAUACCGGAUGAGACGGGACCCGCGAUGGCGGGACCCGGGAAAGGCGCUGCGGCGCCGCCGGGGGAUGAGUCUGCGUCCCAUUAGCUAGACGGCGGGGUAACGGCCCACCGUGGCGACGAUGGGUAGCCGGCCUGAGAGGGUGGACGGCCACAUUGGAACUGAGACACGGUCCAGACUCCUACGGGAGGCAGCAGCUAAGAAUCUUCCGCAAUGGGCGAAAGCCUGACGGAGCCGACGCCGCGUGAACGAAGAAGGCCGUGAGGUUGUAAAGUUCUUUUCGGGAGGGGGAACAACCGUGGCAGGGAAUGGCCGCGGGAUGACGUGAAUCCCGGAAUAAGCCCCGGCUAACUACGUGCCAGCCGCGGC
Molecule: ribosomal RNA, 503 nt
Filed under: uncultured bacterium
Lineage: Bacteria
Description: bacterial SSU rRNA
Rfam family: Bacterial small subunit ribosomal RNA
Source: RNAcentral